AGCUGCUGGAGAUCCUGGGGUGGUUCUGGCCCUGGAGCAGUUCAGCAAGCUGAAGCCCUCUUUAGGAAGCAAGGACAUGUAUGACAUGCUGGCUCUGUGCUGCAAGAACAUUGUGACCCACCCUUCAGCGGAGAUGAUGCAGAAGAUCAGGAAGUCACAGCAAGCAGCUCAGUACCUGCAGCUUCAGCAAACAUCAUUGAAAGCUCUGGGCCGGCUCAUGGGGGUUCUGCUGGAGACAGAGCCCAGCCGUGGCUUCUUCCAG
Coturnix japonica (Japanese quail) is the source of this 262-nucleotide non-coding RNA. Lineage: Eukaryota; Metazoa; Chordata; Aves; Galliformes; Phasianidae. The record is from RefSeq and is a predicted model, not a curated record.